This 220-nucleotide long non-coding RNA is filed under the name Elaeis guineensis (African oil palm). Its description in RNAcentral is "long non-coding RNA (EGUI_LNC065867)". Lineage: Eukaryota; Viridiplantae; Streptophyta; Magnoliopsida; Arecales; Arecaceae. The record is from RNAcentral.
GGUUGACAGUUUAACUCUGAGUCGUCCUAAACACAGGGGUCAAAAGGAUGAAUUAUACAGUAACCAUAUUCACAUAGGUUCUGAGUGUUGCGAUUGUAAUUUUUCGAUCUAUCCGGAUGUCGGGUACCAUUGCUAGAUGGUCACUUCGAUUAGUACAGGAAUUGAUUCCUGUGCUACCGGCUUAGGUUCGAACCUGCGGGGUCACACACAUUAGAGGUUU